UACGUAGGGUGCGAGCGUUGUCCGGAAUUAUUGGGCGUAAAGAGCUCGUAGGCGGUGUGUCGCGUCGGCCGUGAAAACCUGCAGCUUAACUGUGGGCGUGCGGUCGAUACGGGCAUCACUGGAGUUCGGCAGGGGAGACUGGAAUUCCUGGUGUAGCGGUGAAAUGCGUAGAUAUCGGGAGGAACACCAGUGGCGAAGGCGGCGACCUGGACAGAUAUUGACGCUGAGGUGCGAAAGCGUGGGGAGCAAACAGG
This 254-nucleotide ribosomal RNA is filed under the name uncultured bacterium. Its description in RNAcentral is "partial 16S ribosomal RNA". It matches the Rfam family "Bacterial small subunit ribosomal RNA", at positions 524 to 776 of the family's 1533-position model. The record is from RNAcentral.